Non-coding RNA from Triticum aestivum (bread wheat), 124 nucleotides. NCBI's taxonomy places the organism in Eukaryota, Viridiplantae, Streptophyta, Magnoliopsida, Poales, Poaceae. The record is from Rfam.
AUAAUACUCCCUUCAUUCAGAAAUACUUGUCCUAGAAAUGGACAAAAUGAAUGUAUCUAUAACUAAAAUAAGUCUAGAUACAACCAUUUUUAGGGCAAGUAUUUCUGGACGGAGGGAGUAUAUU